RNAcentral lists this ribosomal RNA (503 nucleotides) under uncultured bacterium. Its description in RNAcentral is "partial 16S ribosomal RNA". It matches the Rfam family "Bacterial small subunit ribosomal RNA", at positions 29 to 507 of the family's 1533-position model. The record is from RNAcentral.
AACGAACGCUGGCGGCGUGCCUAACACAUGCAAGUCGAACGAGAAAGGGGCUUCGGCUCCGAGUAAAGUGGCGCACGGGUGAGUAACACGUGGGUAACCUGCCUCUAAGAUUGGGAUAACUCGUCGAAAGAUGAGCUAAUACCGAAUAAGACCACAGUUCCCGCGGGAACAGGGGUCAAAGGUAGCCUCUGCUUGCAAGCUAUCACUUAGAGAUGGGCCUGCGCACCAUUAGCUAGUUGGUAGGGUAACGGCCUACCAAGGCAAAGAUGGUUAGCUGGUCUGAGAGGAUGAUCAGCCACACUGGAACUGAGACACGGUCCAGACGCCUACGGGAGGCAGCAGUGGGGAAUAUUGCGCAAGGGGCGAAAGCUUGACGCAGCAACGCCGCGUGAGUGAUGAAGGCCUUCGGGUCGUAAAGCUCUGUCGGGAGGAACGAAUGCUCCUGAGGUUAACAGCCUCGGGAGGUGACGGUACCUUCAAAGGAAGCACCGGCUAACUCUGUG